RNAcentral lists this ribosomal RNA (366 nucleotides) under uncultured bacterium. Its description in RNAcentral is "bacterial SSU rRNA". It matches the Rfam family "Bacterial small subunit ribosomal RNA", at positions 107 to 507 of the family's 1533-position model. The record is from RNAcentral.
UGCGUAACGCGUGGGAACCUGCCUUUAGGUUCGGAAUAACUCAGAGUAAAUUUGAGCUAAUACCGGAUAAUGUCUUCGGACCAAAGAUUUAUCGCCUUUAGAUGGGCCCGCGUUGGAUUAGCUAGUUGGUGGGGUAAAGGCCUACCAAGGCGACGAUCCAUAGCUGGUCUGAGAGGAUGAUCAGCCACACUGGGACUGAGACACGGCCCAGACUCCUACGGGAGGCAGCAGUGGGGAAUAUUGGACAAUGGGCGAAAGCCUGAUCCAGCAAUGCCGCGUGAGUGAUGAAGGCCUUAGGGUUGUAAAGCUCUUUUACCCGAGAUGAUAAUGACAGUAUCGGGAGAAUAAGCUCCGGCUAACUCCGUG